GACGAACGCUGGCGGCGUGCUUAACACAUGCAAGUCGAGCGAUGAAGCACCUUCGGGUGUGAAUUAGCGGCGAACGGGUGAGGAACACGUGAGUAAUCUGCCUUCAACUCUGGGAUAACUCCGGGAAACCGGGGCUAAUACCGGAUAUGAACCUUGAUCGCAUGAUCAGGGCUGGCAAGUUUUUCGGUUGAAGAUUAUCACGCGGCCUAUCAGCUUGUUGGUGAGGUAAUGGCUAAACAAGGCGACGACGGGUAGCCGGGCGGAGAGCGCGACCGGCCACACUGGGACUGAGACACGGCCCAGACUCCUACGGGAGGCAGCAGUGGGGAAUAUUGGGCAAUGGAGGAAACUCUGACCCAGCGACGCCGCGUGAGGGAUGAAGGCCUUCGGGUUGUAAACCUCUUUCAGUAGGGAAGAGGCGAAAGUGACGGUACCUACAGAAGAAGCACCGGCUAACUAUGUGCCAGCCGCCGCAGUAA
RNAcentral lists this ribosomal RNA (479 nucleotides) under uncultured bacterium. Its description in RNAcentral is "partial 16S ribosomal RNA". It matches the Rfam family "Bacterial small subunit ribosomal RNA", at positions 28 to 523 of the family's 1533-position model. The record is from RNAcentral.